This 526-nucleotide small RNA is filed under the name Arabidopsis thaliana (thale cress). Its description in RNAcentral is "putative long intergenic non-coding RNA". The record is from RNAcentral. Lineage: Eukaryota; Viridiplantae; Streptophyta; Magnoliopsida; Brassicales; Brassicaceae.
UGCAAUAUCAUGCAACGUAGAAAUAGAGUGUGAGGUUUGAGAAAAAUAAAGAGUGGUGUGAGAUUUGAGUGUAUUUGUUAUUAAGUUAUAAACUUUGUAUUGUGAGUGAUUUACAAAUAAAUAUUAGAGUGUUUUCUUAUUUUGGUUUAUAUAUUUGUGGUUAAUUUAUUAAUUGUGUAUUUACAAUAUACCAAUUAUAAUUCAACCCAAUAUUUAACCAACUAUUCUCUACAGAAACUCGGGAUUAUUUCCAUUUCUCCUUUUGAACAAGAAAAACAGCGUAUUUAAUUCAAUAGAUUAAACAUGGAAAAUUGUUUUCUGGAAUAGAACUGAAAACUGGUCAUCAUUUUUGUAUAAUUAAAAUGAUUUGGGGUAAAUAUAAAAAUUGCUGUUUUAAAAGAUUAAAUGAAGUCGUACACAAAAAAAAAACAAUACAAAGCCGUCCCGCGAUUAUUGUUUUCGGGAUUGUAAAUUCGACUCAAUAGCUACCAUUGAAUCAUUUUACAAGACUCCUACUUCGGUGGUC